AUCGCUUCUCGGCCUUUUGGCUAAGAUCAAGUGCAGAAUGGAAAAUACCCAGUGCUAUAUUAGUAUUUUCAUAAAUAUUUAAUUACUGAGAAACAAUAUUGCUAUAGCAACAAUGCUCAGACAUUAGACUCAGGUCUUACAAAAACAAGGAUUACGUGGUCUCCAGUCUCAUGA
Molecule: small nuclear RNA, 174 nt
Organism: Rattus norvegicus (Norway rat)
Lineage: Eukaryota; Metazoa; Chordata; Mammalia; Rodentia; Muridae
Product: U2 spliceosomal RNA
Source: Ensembl